RNAcentral lists this long non-coding RNA (534 nucleotides) under Hordeum vulgare. Its description in RNAcentral is "long non-coding RNA (HVUL_LNC003404)". Lineage: Eukaryota; Viridiplantae; Streptophyta; Magnoliopsida; Poales; Poaceae. The record is from RNAcentral.
UUGAAAAGGGUGCUAAAGUAGACCUUCCAUUUUGGCUUGCGCAUGGAAUGUUGUCUCUGGAACAAGCGGUGUCAAUAAAUGUACCUCAUUGCUUCACCCAGAAGUAGGUUUCUUUGUAAAAAAAUGUAUUUGUGGAAAUUCUUGAGAGGGACACCAAUAUAUACUGGAUGCAGUACUAUGUAGUUAUCGUUCUCAUUACCUUCCUCUAUGCAAUCUUAAAUUCGUAAAUUCUCACUAAAAUGUUUCUAUACGAUCUUUGUUAGAAAUAGAUUGCCCACUCCACUGCUUUGCACAGCUUUGAUGAGCCUUAGACAUGUUAUAUUCUCAGUUACUACAAUAACUAGGUAAUUUUGUAGGCAUACAACACUACAAUGCAUUAUCCUUUCUACAUGUAUUCUGUUUUUGUACAAAUUUAAAUGCUUACAUGCCCAUAAAAAUGAUAAUUGUAGUCACAUAUUAAGUUCAAAUAGGAGGAACUUCUGUAAGUUCAAGUAGCUGUAAUCUUCGGGAGAAAAUGCAGUUAAUACUAUGAAC